GAUGAACGCUAGCGGGAGGCCUAACACAUGCAAGCCGAGGGGUAUGAUUCUUUCGGGGAUCAGAGACCGGCGUACGGGUGCGUAACGCGUAUGUAACUUACCCCAUUCACUGGGAUAGCCCUUCGAAAGGAGGAUUAAUACCGGAUAACACUAAAGUGGGCAUCCACUUUGGUUGAAAGAUUUAUCGGAAUGGGAUAGACAUGCGUCAGAUUAGCUAGUCGGAGAGGUAACGGCUCACCAAGGCGAUGAUCUGUAGGGGGCCUGAGAGGGUGACCCCCCACACUGGUACUGAGAUACGGCCCAG
RNAcentral lists this ribosomal RNA (304 nucleotides) under uncultured bacterium. RNAcentral describes it as "bacterial SSU rRNA". It matches the Rfam family "Bacterial small subunit ribosomal RNA", at positions 28 to 334 of the family's 1533-position model. The record is from RNAcentral.